RNAcentral lists this small RNA (29 nucleotides) under Bombyx mori (domestic silkworm). RNAcentral's name for it is "ovarian small RNA-24458". The record is from RNAcentral. Lineage: Eukaryota; Metazoa; Arthropoda; Insecta; Lepidoptera; Bombycidae.
UCAAAGGUCUUCCAUUUUGAUGUGCGUAU